AGUUGGAUAGCUGGGUCAAAUGGUGGUCCCAUUCUAAGUUUUCUAAGAAAUCUCCAUAUUGCUUUCCAGAGUGGUUGCACUAAUUUGCAGUCUCACCAGCAAU
This 103-nucleotide microRNA precursor is filed under the name Marmota monax (woodchuck). Lineage: Eukaryota; Metazoa; Chordata; Mammalia; Rodentia; Sciuridae. The record is from RNAcentral.